Molecule: ribosomal RNA, 213 nt
Filed under: uncultured Latescibacterota bacterium
Lineage: Bacteria; Pseudomonadati; Candidatus Latescibacterota
Description: uncultured Latescibacteria bacterium partial 16S ribosomal RNA
Rfam family: Bacterial small subunit ribosomal RNA
Source: RNAcentral
AAGGUGGGGAUGACGUCAAGUCCUCAUGGCCUUUAUGCCCAGGGCUACACACGUGCUACAAUGGCAGGUACAGAGGGCUGCGAAGCCGCGAGGUGGAGCGAAUCCCAGAAAACCUGUCUCAGUCCGGAUUGAAGUCUGCAACUCGACUUCAUGAAGGCGGAAUCGCUAGUAACCGCGAAUCAGCAGGUCGCGGUGAAUACGUUCCCGGGCCUU